GGCCACGUGUAUCCUGCACAAAAGAAAGUUGACAUCAGCUCCAAAUGUGACAUAUUCAUGGUUAUUGUUGUGAUGCAUUUCUCUUAAUGCAUAUAUACUUCUAAGAAGAGCUGGUAGCGAGUGAUGCCUUCAGUAGAAGCUGCCUGACAAUUUCUGUUUUCAGAAACCAUUUUUUUUUCCCCCAAGCUACGUGCUGGGUAUGUAUUUUUCUUUUUAAUUCUAUAUGAGUAAUGCUUGGUGUUGUAAUUAACCAUUUCUGGCAACAAAUAUGUGGAAAGAGAAAUAAUUUGUAACUCUAAGUGUGGAAUUUCUGAAUUUUCUUGUAAGAUUUUUCUUUGGUGUGGUUAAUGUAUUAUUAACACCAGCUGAUCUGCAACGCCUAAAUUCUGAAACUGAAACUUCAGGUUUAGUAGCAGCUAGAGAAGCAUAUGUGUUUGGUUGCAUAUCGGUGAUAUUUUUAUCACCUAUCUUUAGAUACCUUCCACAUAUUUAAUAAGGAGGGCAUUCUCUAUAUCGUCAAUGAACACGAUAGGCUCCCCCAGAGAGAGCAAUCCCAAGUAAGUGCAUUAGUGUUUACCAAUAUGCAGUCUACAUCUUCUCUGUUGCAAAUUAAGCCUUUCUUUUUGCUUGUUCUUUCCAAUGGCAAUGAAGAAUAAUUGAUUACUGUCCUUUCUGAAAGCUAUUGGAAGAUGGCUAUCGUGUCUUGUCUAGCCUUUUCUUUUUCUCCUCCAGACAAAGCAAAGCCAAUUCCUUUAUCUUUUGCUUGCAGAUGAUGUUUUCAGAACUUUUGUGCUUCUUGUUUCUCUGCCCUGGAAUCUAUUUAAUUUAUCUUGCUUAUACUGCAGUGACCAACACUGGACUCUGUGGUGUUGCAAAGACUUUCUGACUGCUAAGUGAAAUGCAAGAUUGCUUCACAGGUCUUGCAGGGAAUGUCCCGACUUAUGCAACCUGGAAUGAUGAGGGUGUUUUGUAUUAAAAAAAAGGAUGCUAUUGAUGCACACUGAGCUUAUGAUUCAUUUUGACAGCCAGAUCUCGUUCAAUAUUCCUGAAGUCUGGACUAAUUUCCCCAGCAGUAGUUGGUUUGUUAUCUUUUUCCUAAGCGGAUAUCUUUGCAUUUAUCCUCAGUGAAUUUCAUUUGUUCAUUUUAGACUUUCUCUUCAGGGGUCCAGAUCAUUGUUGAUGAUUCUGAUCCCGUCCCUCUGAGUGCUUGUAACCUCUCCCAGCUUGGGACUUUUGGAAAACCAUGCAAGCUCAUACUCUACCCAAAUUGUUAAGAGCAGUAUUGAGCAGACCCAGGAUAAGCAGAGCCCUGCAGGACUCUCAUUCAAAGGUCCCUCUAAUCCUGCAGGGAACCACUAAUAACUCUUCUUGGGGCAAGUUCUGCAAUUAACCUUGCCCAUAUCUUGUGGUGAUUUAAUUCUGAGCAUAUUACUCGAGCUGCCCAUAACAGUUCUGCAUGGGGCAAUGCCAAAGCUGGUGUUGUGAGAAUAUGUUAGUGUUUCAGGGAGUGCCUGGCUCAUUUGGAGAUACAGUACAGCCUAAAUUGCAAUAGUAGGAACAAAGGCAAAGGAGCUAGGUCUGCCCCUAAUUAAAUGUAGUCUCCGUAAGCACUGAGACCUAUUUCCAGAUGCUCUUGGACUACUGUAAUAUGACUGACGCUGACAAGCUGCAUGGUAUUUAUGGAUAUGUUUUAUCUCUUUCUUGUUUUUUAAAAGGGGAAUCCAGUCUCUGGAGUGUCAAGUGAGGGUUGUCUUUCAGGGUUAUGUCUUCCAAGCAGCCUCUCUCUGCCAGGCAAGGCCAGUUUACACAGGGAAAAGGCAUAAACUACUUCUGCACUUGACACCAUGCAUCUGUUCUCUGUGGGAACACAUUUGUCAUACCCUCCUAGACCUCUUGUCCUGGCUUUACCUGGAUGGGGAAGGGAAAAACACCACCCUUCAGAUAAACCACCUUGGAGACUACAGGACCACAAAAUAAGAAGGUAGAUGAGAGGAGCCAACUGCGGAUGAAACAGAAGUCAGGAAGGGUGUAGAUAACAUCCUCCAGGCUGGCCCAAGGACAUGGAAGUCCAGCGUUGGCACACAUCGAAAAUCCAGCUGAACAGCAAAGCCAAACUGGAGGCUAGAGACUGUGGACUUGAGGCUUGAGAGAGCAAAAAUGUUGUAGAAAUAAAAGAGAAAAAAACUUUUGCAACCACUAGGACUCCCCUCUGGAGCUACAUCUUAUUGCUAUUGGUAACUGUAAUCACACAAUUUUAAACACAGCAGUAUUAAAAUAGCUUGCCAUACAAAA
Anas platyrhynchos (mallard) is the source of this 2292-nucleotide non-coding RNA. NCBI's taxonomy places the organism in Eukaryota, Metazoa, Chordata, Aves, Anseriformes, Anatidae. The record is from RefSeq and is a predicted model, not a curated record.